CAGGGAAUCUUGCGCAAUGGACGGGAGUCCGACGCAGCGACGCCGCGUGGGUGAAGACGGCCUUCGGGUUGUAAAGCCCUUUUCUGGGGGAAGAGAGAGGACGGUACUCCAGGAAUAAGUGUCGGCUAACUACGUGCCAGCAGCCGCGGUAAUACGUAGGGCACGAGCGUUAUCCGGAUUUACUGGGCGUAAAGCGCCUGUAGGCGGUUCUUCAAGUCGUUUGUGAAAGCCCUGGGCUCAACCUGGGGAGGCCAAGCGAUACUGGAGGACUUGAGGGUGACAGAGGGGAGUGGAAUUUCCGGUGUAGCGGUAAAAUGCGCAGAUAUCGGGAGGAACACCAGUGGCGAAGGCGGCUCCCUGGGUUACCCCUGACGCUGAGAGGCGAAAGCUAGGGGAGCAAACAG
RNAcentral lists this ribosomal RNA (404 nucleotides) under uncultured bacterium. RNAcentral's name for it is "bacterial SSU rRNA". It matches the Rfam family "Bacterial small subunit ribosomal RNA", at positions 355 to 775 of the family's 1533-position model. The record is from RNAcentral.